CCUACGGGAGGCAGCAGUGAGGAAUAUUGGUCAAUGGACGAGAGUCUGAACCAGCCAAGUAGCGUGAAGGAUGACUGCCCUAUGGGUUGUAAACUUCUUUUAUAAAGGAAUAAAACGAGGCACGUGUGCCUUUUUGUAUGUACCUUAUGAAUAAGGAUCGGCUAACUCCGUGCCAGCAGCCGCGGUAAUACGGAGGAUCCGAGCGUUAUCCGGAUUUAUUGGGUUUAAAGGGAGCGUAGAUGGGUUGUUAAGUCAGUUGUGAAAGUUUGCGGCUCAACCGUAAAAUUGCAAUUGAUACUGGCAGUCUUGAGUACAGGUGAGGUAGGCGGAAUUCGUGGUGUAGCGGUGAAAUGCUUAGAUAUCACGAAGAACCCCGAUUGCGAAGGCAGCUUACUAAACUGUGACUGACAUUGAUGCUCGAAAGUGUGGGUAUCAAACAGGAUUAGAUACCCGAGUAGUC
RNAcentral lists this ribosomal RNA (460 nucleotides) under uncultured bacterium. RNAcentral's name for it is "partial 16S ribosomal RNA". It matches the Rfam family "Bacterial small subunit ribosomal RNA", at positions 338 to 795 of the family's 1533-position model. The record is from RNAcentral.